This 138-nucleotide ribosomal RNA is filed under the name uncultured eukaryote. Its description in RNAcentral is "partial 18S ribosomal RNA". It matches the Rfam family "Eukaryotic small subunit ribosomal RNA", at positions 1299 to 1458 of the family's 1831-position model. The record is from RNAcentral.
UGGUGGAGUGAUUUGUCUGGUUAAUUCCGUUAACGAACGAGACCUUAACCUGCUAGAUAGUUACGUUAACUUUGGUUGACGGCUAACUUCUUAGAGGGACUAUGGAUGUUUAAUCCAUGGAAGUUUGAGGCAAUAACA